AGAGUUUGAUCAUGGCUAAGUCGUAACAAGGUAAGUCGAAACAAGGUACUAGAGUUUGAUCAUGGCCAAGUCGUAACAAGGUAAGGAGUAAAUUGGAAUGAGAGUUAGUCCAUAGGCCAGAUAGGGAAAGGUAAAGGGAAAAUUGGGGGGCGGUAAAUUAAAUUCACCGUAUAGUGGGAAGUAUUACUUUUGAAUGGCCGUCGUUUUAUAAGCUAGUUGGUGAGGUAAAGGCUCACCAAGGCGGCGAUCAGUAGCUGGUCUGAGAGGAUGAUCAGCCACACUGGGACUGAGACACGGCCCAGACUCCUACGGGAGGCAGCAGUGGGGAAUUUUCCGCAAUGGGCGAAAGCCUGACGGAGCAAGACCGCGUGAGGGAGGAAGGCUCUUGGGUUGUAAACCUCUUUUGUCAGGGAAGAACACAAUGACGGUACCUGAAGAAUCAGCAUCGGCUAACUCCGUGCCAGCAGCCGCGGUAAUACGGAGGAUGCAAGCGUUAUCCGGAAUUAUUGGGCGUAAAGCGUCCGCAGGUGGCACUUCAAGUCUGCUGUCAAAGACCGGGGCUUAACCCUGGAAAGGCAGUGGAAACUGAAGCGCUAGAGUGUGGCAGGGGUAGAGGGAAUUCCCGGUGUAGCGGUGAAAUGCGUAGAGAUCGGG
RNAcentral lists this ribosomal RNA (654 nucleotides) under uncultured bacterium. RNAcentral's name for it is "bacterial SSU rRNA". It matches the Rfam family "Bacterial small subunit ribosomal RNA", at positions 8 to 701 of the family's 1533-position model. The record is from RNAcentral.